GUUCUUGUGCCAGUUGCUAAUGGUUCAGAGGAAAUUGAAGCUCUUAAUUUAAUAGAUGUCUUGCGUAGAGCAGGUGCAAAUGUUACAGUUGCAUCAGUUGAGGAUACCCUGCAAAUCGUGACCCGGCGUCACAAGUUUAAUCUGAUAGCUGACAUGAUGUUGAACGAAGCUGCUAAAAUGGAAUUUGAUCUGAUUGUCAUGCCGGGCGGUCUGUCGGGUGCUCAAAAGUUUGCUAAUACAGACAAACUUGUUGAUUUACUGAAGAAGCAGGCAGGAUCUGGUAAACCCUAUGGUGCAAUAUGUGCUUCACCAGCUCAUGUCCUCGAGCCCCACGGUUUACUGAAGGGGAAAAAGGUGACGGCGUUUCCACCCAUGGCGCACCUGCUUACAGACCAGAGCCUAUGUGAGAACAGGGUUGUGAUUGACGGAAAUCUUAUCACUAGCAGAGCCCCAGGGACUGCGACAGAGUUCGCCCUGGCCAUUGUUGAGAAGCUAUUUGGUCGAGAGAAAGCAGUCAGUAUAGCGAAGGAGUUUGUUUUUAUGUGA
This 546-nucleotide ribosomal RNA is filed under the name Triticum aestivum (bread wheat). Its description in RNAcentral is "partial small subunit ribosomal RNA". The record is from RNAcentral. Lineage: Eukaryota; Viridiplantae; Streptophyta; Magnoliopsida; Poales; Poaceae.